CUUCCCCUUCCUUCCCGUGCCGAUGUGCACGCUUGCCGGCGACCGGAGUCGUCGGAUUUUGUUGUAAAAAAAAUCUUUAUUUUUGCCGUUUUCCGUCACCGGUGGUCACCGCUGACCACCGGUUUGGCCGUCUCUUGCCGUCGGAUCAUCUCUCCUUUGGCUGCCGACCAUCCCCGCACCGGCUGUGCCGCCGGCCGGCCAACCAAGGAGGGGAUCAAAGAUCCCCUGUUUCGGUCAAAAAUAAGCCACGGGAAGAAAAGAAAAGAAGAAGGAANN
RNAcentral lists this long non-coding RNA (276 nucleotides) under Elaeis guineensis (African oil palm). RNAcentral's name for it is "long non-coding RNA (EGUI_LNC011718)". The record is from RNAcentral. Lineage: Eukaryota; Viridiplantae; Streptophyta; Magnoliopsida; Arecales; Arecaceae.